This 609-nucleotide ribosomal RNA is filed under the name Winogradskyella sp. S31. RNAcentral describes it as "bacterial SSU rRNA". It matches the Rfam family "Bacterial small subunit ribosomal RNA", at positions 94 to 701 of the family's 1533-position model. Lineage: Bacteria; Pseudomonadati; Bacteroidota; Flavobacteriia; Flavobacteriales; Flavobacteriaceae. The record is from RNAcentral.
AGUGGCGCACGGGUGCGUAACGCGUAUACAAUCUACCUUUUACUGGGGGAUAGCCUUUGGAAACGAAGAAUAAUACCCCAUAGUAUCUAAAUUUCGCAUGAUAAUUAGAUUAAAGUUUCGGCGGUAAGAGAUGAGUAUGCGUUCUAUUAGCUAGAUGGUGUGGUAACGGCACACCAUGGCAACGAUAGAUAGGGGCCCUGAGAGGGGGAUCCCCCACACUGGUACUGAGACACGGACCAGACUCCUACGGGAGGCAGCAGUGAGGAAUAUUGGACAAUGGGCGAAAGCCUGAUCCAGCCAUGCCGCGUGCAGGAAGACUGCCCUAUGGGUUGUAAACUGCUUUUAUACGGGAAGAAACCCAUCUACGUGUAGGUGGCUGACGGUACCGUAAGAAUAAGCAUCGGCUAACUCCGUGCCAGCAGCCGCGGUAAUACGGAGGAUGCAAGCGUUAUCCGGAAUCAUUGGGUUUAAAGGGUCCGUAGGUGGAUUAGUAAGUCAGAGGUGAAAGCCUGCAGCUCAACUGUAGAACUGCCUUUGAUACUGCUAGUCUUGAAUUAUUGUGAAGUGGUUAGAAUAUGUAGUGUAGCGGUGAAAUGCAUAGAUAUUACA